This 1354-nucleotide long non-coding RNA is filed under the name Gossypium barbadense (sea-island cotton). RNAcentral's name for it is "long non-coding RNA (GBAR_LNC018781)". Lineage: Eukaryota; Viridiplantae; Streptophyta; Magnoliopsida; Malvales; Malvaceae. The record is from RNAcentral.
UUAUAUGUUUGAAUUAACAUAUUGUUUGAGUAGGUGGAACUUUAGGCUGAGUUAUGUGGGACUACCGAAGCAGCUUAAAGAUAUCCAACUGCUAUUAGAUCAACGUCCGGAAGCUAAGGUCAGUUAUUAAAAUUUUCAAACAUAUAAUAAUUACAUAAUGAUUUAGAAUUUAAUAUUUUGUAGAUAAAAAAAAUCUAUAAUUGUGUAUUACAGUUUGAAUGGAUGUCAUAUAUCGAUCCGACAAUCGUAAAAUGCAUCCUGGCUAAAAAUUUGGCCAAUCAAAGUAUGUGGGACACGAGGGUACCAUUGGUAGUUUACGCGAUAGUGGAGAUACGCAAAUCAAAUUGAGUAUGUGACAGUCUGAAUGGAGGCAAAAUAUUUCGCCGCCACUGUAAGAUAUUGAAGCACUGCACAAGCUUGAUUUGCGAGAGAAAACUGACGAAAAUUGGCGGGAAUUCCAUAAGGAAUAUAUCGAUGUAAUACACAAUUUUUGGCCCGGGCCCAAAACCAUAAAUGAAGCCCAUUACAAGCCCUAACCCACUAGCCCAAAACCCCAAAAAACAAAUAGCAGAAACCCUAGGCGGUUGGCAACAAACUAGCGCCGCAGCAGCCCCGCACGUUGCAGCAACAUCGCCCACGUUUAGCAGUUUCCUCGCACACCACUCACAUUCCACCUGCAACAAAACCACAGACAACGACAAAUAAUAAGGGAAAGAGGCUAGAAUAGCGAGAGGGGGGGAUUUCUGUACUAAAAAAAAGGAAAUAAAUCUUGCAUUGAAAAACAUUAUUGAAAACAAAAAACAAAAAGAAAAGAAUCAAAAAACAAAAAACAAUUUUGAAGGUAAUUAUUUGGUUCUGUUUUUCUUUUCCUUUUACUGUUUUAUUCUUUUUAUUUUCUUUCUUGUUUUAAAAUGAAUAAACGAAGCAAAGAAGAAGGAGAAAGGCUCUUACCGGUGGUAGUGCGCCGUCGAGGUGCCGUCGUCGUUGUGGCCGAUUGGAAAUGGAUUUGGAAUGGCAGAGAAAGGGAGGCUGCGGCGCAAACACAAAAAUGGCACAGGAGGGGAAUGAUUUUAGGGUUUUAAAUGGGAUUUUAUAGGGUUAAAAAUGGGUCAUUUCCGUGAUUGGUCCUCUUCUUUUUUGGGGGUGUUUAAAUCAAUUUUUUUAUUUUUUAAAAAUUGGGCCGCAUAUUUUAAUACUGGUUUAAUUCAAUCCAUGUUGCUGCGCAAUGCUUGGGCGAUUUGGAUAAUUUACUCUUUUGAUCCUCCUCUUGUUGGGUGCAUUUUUAAUUUGGUCUUCUUUUUGUAUUUUCUAUUUUUGAAUUUGGCUUUAAAAUUUCAUUUGUUUUCAAUUUGGU